Molecule: ribosomal RNA, 697 nt
Filed under: uncultured Vibrionaceae bacterium
Lineage: Bacteria; Pseudomonadati; Pseudomonadota; Gammaproteobacteria; Vibrionales; Vibrionaceae
Description: bacterial SSU rRNA
Rfam family: Bacterial small subunit ribosomal RNA
Source: RNAcentral
GGGCCGCGGGAUUAGAGUUUGAUCAUGGCUCAGAUUGAACGCUGGCGGCAGGCCUAACACAUGCAAGUCGAGCGGAAACGACACUAACAAUCCUUCGGGUGCGUUAAUGGGCGUCGAGCGGCGGACGGGUGAGUAAUGCCUAGGAAAUUGCCUUGAUGUGGGGGAUAACCAUUGGAAACGAUGGCUAAUACCGCAUAAUGCCUACGGGCCAAAGAGGGGGACCUUCGGGCCUCUCGCGUCAAGAUAUGCUUAGGUGGGAUUAGCUAGUUGGUGAGGUAAUGGCUCACCAAGGCGACGAUCCCUAGCUGGUCUGAGAGGAUGAUCAGCCACACUGGAACUGAGACACGGUCCAGACUCCUACGGGAGGCAGCAGUGGGGAAUAUUGCACAAUGGGCGAAAGCCUGAUGCAGCCAUGCCGCGUGUAUGAAGAAGGCCUUCGGGUUGUAAAGUACUUUCAGUUGUGAGGAAGGGGGUGUAGUUAAUAGCUGCAUCUCUUGACGUUAGCAACAGAAGAAGCACCGGCUAACUCCGUGCCAGCAGCCGCGGUAAUACGGAGGGUGCGAGCGUUAAUCGGAAUUACUGGGCGUAAAGCGCAUGCAGGUGGUUCAUUAAGUCAGAUGUGAAAGCCCGGGGCUCAACCUCGGAACUGCAUUUGAAACUGGUGAACUAGAGUACUGUAGAGGGGGGUAGAAUUUCA